AUGGAAUUUUGCAAAAGUUUAUGGUGGUCUCCAGUCCCUGGAUUCAUCUCACUUGUGAAGAAGAAGGGAGUGCUAAUGAGGCACUACACAGUACAAAGAAGCACAAGAUUAAGGAGACGAACAAUUCCUUUGAGUUUAAUGAGGAUCUAUGCCAAGGCAGAGGACUUUUGAGAAGGUGAUUGGUUGGCAAAUCCAGAUGUUGGACUUCCUAGUACCUGGUUUUACAAGUGCCUUUGUUUGGCUUUCACAUUGGCUCCCCUGUCUUUGUGAUUGAAGGGGGGGAAAACAUCAGACCAGAGAAUUAUAUUUCCCAUUUACCUCAGACUUUUGUCCCAAUUUCUUUUUUAUAGGAUGGCAAUUUUUUUUUGUAGUCCUGGCUGACAAUGGGUAAUUUCAAUAUUGCUGAAAUUGUCCUGAAUGUUUGUAGGAUAUAAGCAACCUCAAUUGGAUCUUGCUGGUGAAUCAAGGAUCUGUUACAAUUUCAAUUUCUACUCAUGAUUUUUAUAAAUGUAGGAUUUGAUAUAUACAUAAUUUAUAAUUGGAAAUCAGUUACCCUCAAAAAAGAACUAUAUUUCCUAGGAGCCCACUGAAUUCCUGUCAUUACAAACUUUCUAUAGACAGGGGAUAUUAGGCAAGGACAUGAAGGAUCAGGUCUCUUUUUGGCCCUGUUGGCAAGUAUGGUGGUGGUGAGAGGGGAUUUUAAAAUGGCUAAUCAGCCAUGGGCAUGUGGUCUUUAUUUUGUAUACCCUUUAUUCCUUUAUUUCUACAAUAAUAAAUCUCCUAAAAUAUAACA
Molecule: long non-coding RNA, 793 nt
Filed under: Monodelphis domestica (gray short-tailed opossum)
Lineage: Eukaryota; Metazoa; Chordata; Mammalia; Didelphimorphia; Didelphidae
Description: lncRNA (ENSMODG00000031282.2)
Source: RNAcentral